This 819-nucleotide ribosomal RNA is filed under the name uncultured bacterium. RNAcentral describes it as "bacterial SSU rRNA". It matches the Rfam family "Bacterial small subunit ribosomal RNA", at positions 62 to 877 of the family's 1533-position model. The record is from RNAcentral.
UCGAGGGGCAGCACGAGGUAGCAAUACUUUGGUGGCGACCGGCGCACGGGUGAGUAACGCGUAUGCAACCUACCCUGUACAGGGGGAUAGCCCGGAGAAAUUCGGAUUAAUACCCCAUAACGAUAUGAAGAGGCAUCUUUUUAUAUUUAAAGCUUCGGCGGUACGGGAUGGGCAUGCGUGACAUUAGCUAGUUGGUAAGGUAACGGCUUACCAAGGCUUCGAUGUCUAGGGGUCCUGAGAGGGUGAUCCCCCACACUGGUACUGAGACACGGACCAGACUCCUACGGGAGGCAGCAGUGAGGAAUAUUGGUCAAUGGGCGUAAGCCUGAACCAGCCAUCCCGCGUGAAGGAAGAAGGCGCUAUGCGUCGUAAACUUCUUUUCCAGAGGAAUAAAAUUUUGUACGAGUACGGAACUGAAGGUACUCUGGGAAUAAGCAUCGGCUAACUCCGUGCCAGCAGCCGCGGUAAUACGGAGGAUGCAAGCGUUAUCCGGAUUUAUUGGGUUUAAAGGGUGCGUAGGCGGAUUAAUAAGUCAGUGGUGAAAACCUUCAGCUUAACUGGAGAACUGCCAUUGAUACUGUUAGUCUUGAGUACGGUCAAGGUAGGCGGAAUGUGUAAUGUAGCGGUGAAAUGCUUAGAUAUUACACAGAACACCGAUUGCGAAGGCAGCUUACUGGGCCAUUACUGACGCUGAGGCACGAAAGCGUGGGGAGCGAACAGGAUUAGAUACCCUGGUAGUCCACGCCGUANACGAUGAUCACUCGCUGUUGGCGNUACACAGUCAGCGGCUAAGCAAAAGCAUUAAGUGAUCCACCUGGG